Molecule: transfer RNA, 68 nt
Filed under: Ovis aries (sheep)
Lineage: Eukaryota; Metazoa; Chordata; Mammalia; Artiodactyla; Bovidae
Description: tRNA-Phe
Rfam family: tRNA
About the family: Transfer RNA (tRNA) molecules are approximately 80 nucleotides in length. Their secondary structure includes four short double-helical elements and three loops (D, anti-codon, and T loops). Further hydrogen bonds mediate the characteristic L-shaped molecular structure. tRNAs have two regions of fundamental functional importance: the anti-codon, which is responsible for specific mRNA codon recognition, and the 3' end, to which the tRNAs corresponding amino acid is attached (by aminoacyl-tRNA synthetases). tRNAs cope with the degeneracy of the genetic code in two manners: having more than one tRNA (with a specific anti-codon) for a particular amino acid; and 'wobble' base-pairing, i.e. permitting non-standard base-pairing at the 3rd anti-codon position.
Source: RNAcentral
UUAAUGUAGCUUAAACUUAAAGCAAGGCACUGAAAAUGCCUAGAUGAGUCCACUGACUCCAUGAACAU